UGUCAAUAAUUGACAAUUUAGACCACUGGUACAAUUCACAAUAGUAAACAAUUCUCGGUGGCAAAAGGGUAAAUGACUUUAGGGAUCUUUCAAAAAGAAAUUGCAUCAAUAAAACUUACAAAGGCAUAAUAGCAUAUCCAAGCCGAAGCUGCCUCCCUAUUUCCCGUCACAUGUAUGCAGCUACACGCCUACACGCCUAGGUUGUGCUGCCAUACUCCUAAUACUUGUCUUGAAGGAUGAAUCGGCAUAAAACCAUGAGCUUGCACAUGUUCUGUCCUGAAAAACAUCAUAUAAUAGUUGAUUAGUUGAUUUAAAGCUUAAUUGGACACGUUGAUUUAGUUUGUCCGAAAGUACACGGCCGCGUGCCUACUGCCUAAUUCCUGCCCUUCUCAUCCGCUCGUUGUUACAGCGCAGAACUGCUGCGAUGCCGCACAACACUGUUGCCGGUCCUCUGCUUGGCGGUCGCCCUGCUGCCGCCGGCUGGCCGUAUGCUGUUGUGCCGCUAGGGUUAGUACUGCCGGUCGAUUGAGAUUUCUACGAUCUGUUUUUGUUUGGGGCCAGCUAAUUAGCGAUAGAAUGGCCGCUUUGAAGCUGCUGUCUUGAAGCUCCCACACCACAAAGCAAAUAUCAAUGCGCAGAGAGAGAGAGAGAGAGAUUUAGAGAGCAGGAGAUGGAUGCUCACGCGGAUCUCCUACCGUCACCUUCAAAUCCGCUGCCGCCGUUUGCCGU
RNAcentral lists this long non-coding RNA (729 nucleotides) under Triticum aestivum (bread wheat). RNAcentral's name for it is "long non-coding RNA (TAES_LNC016986)". The record is from RNAcentral. Lineage: Eukaryota; Viridiplantae; Streptophyta; Magnoliopsida; Poales; Poaceae.